CCCGGCUUAUCACCGGCAGUUUCUUUAGAGUGCUCAACUAAAUGGUAGCAACUAAAGACGAGGGUUGCGCUCGUUGCGGGACUUAACCCAACAUCUCGCGACACGAGCUGACGACAGCCAUGCAGCACCUGUCUCCGGUCCAGCCGAACUGAAGAACUCCAUCUCUGGAGUCCGCGACCGGGAUGUCAAGGGCUGGUAAGGUUCUGCGCGUUGCGUCGAAUUAAACAACAUGCUCCGCCGCUUGUGCGGGCCCCCGUCAAUUCCUUUGAGUUUUAAUCUUGCGACCGUACACCCCAGGCGGGAUGCUUAAUGCGUUAGCUGCGCCACUGAAGGGUAAACCCCCCAACGGCUAGCAUCCAUCGUUUACGGCGUGGACUAC
This 379-nucleotide unclassified non-coding RNA is filed under the name uncultured Alphaproteobacteria bacterium. RNAcentral's name for it is "contains 16S-23S intergenic spacer region". The record is from RNAcentral. Lineage: Bacteria; Pseudomonadati; Pseudomonadota; Alphaproteobacteria.